RNAcentral lists this ribosomal RNA (253 nucleotides) under uncultured bacterium. Its description in RNAcentral is "partial 16S ribosomal RNA". It matches the Rfam family "Bacterial small subunit ribosomal RNA", at positions 524 to 776 of the family's 1533-position model. The record is from RNAcentral.
UACGUAGGGGGCUAGCGUUGUCCGGAAUCAUUGGGCGUAAAGCGCGUGUAGGCGGUCCGGUAAGUCCGCUGUGAAAGUCGGGGGCUCAACCCUCGGAUGCCGGUGGAUACUGUCGGGCUUGAGUACGGAAGAGGAGUGUGGAAUUCCUGGUGUAGCGGUGAAAUGCGCAGAUAUCAGGAGGAACACCAAUGGCGAAGGCAGCACUCUGGGACGGUACUGACGCUGAGACGCGAAAGCGUGGGGAGCAAACAGG